UACGAAGGGGGCUAGCGUUGCUCGGAAUCACUGGGCGUAAAGCGCACGUAGGCGGCUUUUUAAGUCAGGGGUGAAAUCCUGGAGCUCAACUCCAGAACUGCCUUUGAUACUGAGAGGCUUGAGUCCGGGAGAGGUGAGUGGAACUGCGAGUGUAGAGGUGAAAUUCGUAGAUAUUCGCAAGAACACCAGUGGCGAAGGCGGCUCACUGGCCCGGUACUGACGCUGAGGUGCGAAAGCGUGGGGAGCGAACAGG
RNAcentral lists this ribosomal RNA (253 nucleotides) under uncultured bacterium. Its description in RNAcentral is "partial 16S ribosomal RNA". It matches the Rfam family "Bacterial small subunit ribosomal RNA", at positions 524 to 776 of the family's 1533-position model. The record is from RNAcentral.